This 237-nucleotide ribosomal RNA is filed under the name uncultured bacterium. RNAcentral describes it as "partial 16S ribosomal RNA". It matches the Rfam family "Bacterial small subunit ribosomal RNA", at positions 8 to 236 of the family's 1533-position model. The record is from RNAcentral.
AGAGUUUGAUCCUGGCUCAGGAUAAACGCUGGCGGCGCACAUAAGACAUGCAAGUCGAACGGACUUAACCAUUAGUUUACUAUUGGAGCGGUUAGUGGCGGACUGGUGAGUAACACGUAAGCAAUCUGCCUAUCAGAGGGGAACAACGAGUUAGAAAUGACUGCUAAUACCGCAUAUACCCAAGUGUCACAUGGCACAAUGGGGAAAGGAGCAAUCCGCUGAUAGAUGGGCUUGCGU